GACGAACGCUGGCGGCGUGCUUAACACAUGCAAGUCGAACGGAAAGGCCCUGCUUUUGUGGGGUGCUCGAGUGGCGAACGGGUGAGUAACACGUGAGUAACCUGCCCUUGACUUUGGGAUAACUUCAGGAAACUGGGGCUAAUACCGGAUAGGAGCUCCUGCUGCAUGGUGGGGGUUGGAAAGUUUCGGCGGUUGGGGAUGGACUCGCGGCUUAUCAGCUUGUUGGUGGGGUAGUGGCUUACCAAGGCUUUGACGGGUAGCCGGCCUGAGAGGGUGACCGGCCACAUUGGGACUGAGAUACGGCCCAGACUCCUACGGGAGGCAGCAGUGGGGAAAAUUGCACAAUGGGCGGAAGCCUGAUGCAGCAACGCCGCGUGCGGGAUGACGGCCUUCGGGUUGUAAACCGCUUUCGCCUGUGACGAAGCGUGAGUGACGGCAAUGGGUAAAGAAGCACCGGCUAACUACGUG
RNAcentral lists this ribosomal RNA (468 nucleotides) under uncultured bacterium. Its description in RNAcentral is "partial 16S ribosomal RNA". It matches the Rfam family "Bacterial small subunit ribosomal RNA", at positions 28 to 507 of the family's 1533-position model. The record is from RNAcentral.